This 556-nucleotide ribosomal RNA is filed under the name uncultured Ascomycota. Its description in RNAcentral is "SSU rRNA". It matches the Rfam family "Eukaryotic small subunit ribosomal RNA", at positions 194 to 755 of the family's 1831-position model. The record is from RNAcentral. Lineage: Eukaryota; Fungi; Ascomycota.
GGAAGGGGUGUAUUUAUUAGAUUAAAAACCAAUGCCCUCUGGGCUCUUUGGUGAUUCAUGAUAACUUCUCGAAUCGCACGGCCUUGCGCCGGCGAUGGUUCAUUCAAAUUUCUUCCCUAUCAACUUUCGAUGUUUGGGUAUUGGCCAAACAUGGUUGCAACGGGUAACGGAGGGUUAGGGCUCGACCCCGGAGAAGGAGCCUGAGAAACGGCUACUACAUCCAAGGAAGGCAGCAGGCGCGCAGAUUACCCAAUCCCGACACGGGGAGGUAGUGACAAUAAAUACUGAUACAGGGCUCUUUUGGGUCUUGUAAUUGGAAUGAGUACAAUUUAAAUCCCUUAACGAGGAACAAUUGGAGGGCAAGUCUGGUGCCAGCAGCCGCGGUAAUUCCAGCUCCAAUAGCGUAUAUUAAAGUUGUUGUGGUUAAAAAGCUCGUAGUUGAACCUUGGGCCUGGCUGGCCGGUCCGCCUCACCGCGUGUACUGGUCCGGCCGGGCCUUUCCCUCUGUGGAACCUCAUGCCCUUCACUGGGUGUGACGGGGAACCAGGACUUUUAC